AGGGGAUUAGGUCAUGAUAUAUAUUAGAUAUUCUUAGGGAUAUCAUAGGGGAUUAGGGCAUGAUGUAUAUUAGAUAUUCUUAGGGAUAUCAUAGGGGAUUAGGUCAUGAUAUAUAUUAGAUAUUCGUAGGGAUAUCAUAGGGGAUUAGGUCAUGAUAUAUAUUAGAUAUUCUUAGGGAUAUCAUAGGGGAUUAGGUCAUGAUAUAUAUUAGAUAUUCGUAGGGAUAUCAUAGGGGAUUAGGUCAUGAUAUAUAUUAGAUAUUCGUAGGGAUAUCAUAGGGGAUUAGGUCAUGAUAUAUAUUAGAUAUUCGUAGGGAUAUCAUAGGGGAUUAGGUCAUGAUAUAUAUUAGAUAUUCGUAGGGAUAUCAUAGGGGAUUAGGUCAUGAUAUAUAUUAGAUAUUCUUAGGGAUAUCAUAGGGGAUUAGGUCAUGAUAUAUAUUAGAUAUUCGUAGGGAUAUCAUAGGGGA
Long non-coding RNA from Oncorhynchus keta (chum salmon), 466 nucleotides. RefSeq lists it as uncharacterized. The record is from RefSeq and is a predicted model, not a curated record. NCBI's taxonomy places the organism in Eukaryota, Metazoa, Chordata, Actinopteri, Salmoniformes, Salmonidae. The transcript has 4 exons.